Molecule: non-coding RNA, 2000 nt
Organism: Danio rerio (zebrafish)
Lineage: Eukaryota; Metazoa; Chordata; Actinopteri; Cypriniformes; Danionidae
Source: RefSeq, a predicted model, not a curated record
GCGGUUCAUUUCGCUGUGGCAACCCAAGAUUAAUAAAGGGGCUAAGCCAAAAAGAAAAUGAACGAAUGGCCAAGCAAACUGAUAACAUACCAGUAAUCUCCUAAUAAAGUUAGGUUCCAGUUUCUGACAUAUAAAGAUCCCAUUCACCUUCUCUCUGCGUCAUGUACUGUCAUCUUUCUACUGUUUCUUAAAAUAUAACCCCCUAAAAUAGCAUUUAAAACAUGGAUGUUGGUGUGAGUCACUUGUUAGUCAUGGGCACUCAUCAUAACCCUGUCUUCGGCUCGAAGUUUUUACCCUCUAACCAGCUCAGCUCGGUCACAAACAACCCAGUGCACUGUGCAAACAAAUAUCUCAAUCUAAGCCACAACCACCCCAUCAGUACAUUGACAAAUCAAGCCAAUAAAUACUGGCAGCUGAAGUCUGACAUAAAAUCUGCUGAAACCCAGGGGGAAUCCAGUGGUGGAGGUUAUAGAUGGAUGUUGUGCUUAGUUACAGAACAAUUUCAGAAAGCCCUGGCCCUCUUCGUAACCUCUAGUGAAGUGUGUGUGUUUCUACUCUUAAUGAGACUCUGUGGCCCAAGGACUGCCAUUACUACAUGCUAAAGUGUGACGUAUAUCACGAGCCACAGGCCAUCAGUACACACACCGUCACACACAGAUAAUAGACAGCCAUUUUGUACACCAAAUAAUUCCAAUUCUGUUCACUACAGGCACAUUUCAGGUCCAGAGAUCAUUGCGGCAGAGGCAGAGCGUGGCUGAAUGACUGACUGGCGGCCGUCAUUAUCAGACAUGUUUGGUCGGACAUGCGAGUCCAGACUGAAGGAGGAGGUGAGAAGGGCCCAUGUUCAGUGAGCGUGUAAUGAAGCCGGGUUUGGAUCAGGGUCACUGACUCGAGUGCCAUUUAUUUCUGAGAGGAGGCUAGUCUGCUGUGCGCUUUAAAUUACGGCGGACGGGCUUGGCAAAACCUGGAUUACUUCGUGUGGAGUGAGCAGACGGUAAUAUACUUGCCCUCGCUGUCCCUGUGUUUCCAGCCUUCAGUACAGAAGCAGUCAUCCAUAAACCACAUCGUCUAGAUCUUUAUUUAUUUUGCCACCAAUCGACUCCGAGCAGCCUGCCGGACAGCUGCAGCAAGUGAAGUCACUUUACGCUCAUUAGCAUGGACAAGAGAUGAGACCCUAGACACACACACACACACACACACACACACACACACACAAAACACACACAAAUUUCCCUCCUUGCGUCUCAGUAUGAGAGUGUUGUGCUCUAAAAACUGCUCUCCAGAUUUCAGUUGAUGUUCAUAUGUAUGCAUAUAUAUUUAUGCUCUGGUAUUUUUAAGUGUGUUUGAAUGCUCAGGAGGGAGCAAGCAAAAUGAACACACUUUCACAUGAAAAUUAAGGAGGCAUUUGAACACAUAGUAGAGAGUAGAACAGAUGGUAUGUGGUUGGAUAACUACUUUAAGCUUUUUUUAUAAUUGCAAAAUCAUUUAUUCAUACAAAAAACACAUGAACGUACCAUAAAAUGUGCAUCACAAAUAGUAUUGUCAGUACUUUGGUGUAUAGCAAAGUAACAAAUGACUACUGUUAUGAUUCACCAUGGUAUGUAGCCAGAUAGUUAAAGUUUUUGGGAGGUAUUUUGAGUUGGAUUCAAAGCAGAAGAACCUGCUUAUGCACACAACUUUUAAUUUUAAGCCAGGCAGCCCAAGGACUUCCGGUGAACUGUCUUUCCAUUACAAAAUUGUCACGUUUAAGAUCUGAUUUCUGUAAAAAUCAGCAGUCUUCACUCCCUGUUAGAUAUACGACAUGAAGUGGGUCUCAGAUCUGACAAGAAGCACUGCACUAAACUCCAUUUUUCCCCGUCAUGUCUUUAAAAUAUGACCGUUUAUUUUACCCAGUAUUUUCAAUGGAAUUUCUGCACUUACCUGUUGCUACUGGCGCUAGUGGUUACAAUGAUCUUUCAUCUUGUUUAAUGCUUGAACAACUAAAUGAUUGCUUGAGUCUA